This is a non-coding RNA of Halocaridina rubra (Hawaiian volcano shrimp), 79 nucleotides long. NCBI's taxonomy places the organism in Eukaryota, Metazoa, Arthropoda, Malacostraca, Decapoda, Atyidae. The record is from the annotation of a GenBank genome assembly.
GCCUGUGGUCGUAGUGGCCGAGUGGCAACGGUAACGACUUUUAUUUAUCAUGUCGUGGGUUCGAGGCCCACCACGGACU